ACGAACGCUGGCGGCGUGCUUCACACAUGCAAGUCGAACGGAAAGGCCCUGCUUUUGUGGGGUGCUCGAGUGGCGAACGGGUGAGUAACACGUGAGUAACCUGCCCUUGACUUUGGGAUAACUUCAGGAAACUGGGGCUAAUACCGGAUAGGAGCUCCUGCUGCAUGGUGGGGGUUGGAAAGUUUCGGCGGUUGGGGAUGGACUCGCGGCUUAUCAGCUUGUUGGUGGGGUAGUGGCUUACCAAGGCUUUGACGGGUAGCCGGCCUGAGAGGGUGACCGGCCACAUUGGGACUGAGAUACGGCCCAGACUCCUACGGGAGGCAGCAGUGGGGAAUAUUGCACAAUGGGCGGAAGCCUGAUGCAGCAACGCCGCGUGCGGGAUGACGGCCUUCGGGUUGUAAACCGCCUUCGCCUGUGACGAAGCGUGAGUGACGGUAAUGGGUAAAGAAGCACCGGCUAACUACGUG
This 467-nucleotide ribosomal RNA is filed under the name uncultured bacterium. Its description in RNAcentral is "partial 16S ribosomal RNA". It matches the Rfam family "Bacterial small subunit ribosomal RNA", at positions 29 to 507 of the family's 1533-position model. The record is from RNAcentral.